This 399-nucleotide ribosomal RNA is filed under the name uncultured Intrasporangiaceae bacterium. RNAcentral describes it as "bacterial SSU rRNA". It matches the Rfam family "Bacterial small subunit ribosomal RNA", at positions 360 to 771 of the family's 1533-position model. Lineage: Bacteria; Bacillati; Actinomycetota; Actinomycetes; Micrococcales; Intrasporangiaceae. The record is from RNAcentral.
AAUAUUGCACAAUGGGCGAAAGCCUGAUGCAGCGACGCCGCGUGAGGGAUGAAGGCCUUCGGGUUGUAAACCUCUUUCAGCAGGGAAGAAGCGAAAGUGACGGUACCUGCAGAAGAAGCACCGGCUAACUACGUGCCAGCAGCCGCGGUAAUACGUAGGGUGCAAGCGUUGUCCGGAAUUAUUGGGCGUAAAGAGCUUGUAGGCGGUUUGUCGCGUCUGCUGUGAAAUUUCGGGGCUCAACCCCGAACUUGCAGUGGGUACGGGCAGACUAGAGUGUGGUAGGGGAGACUGGAAUUCCUGGUGUAGCGGUGAAAUGCGCAGAUAUCAGGAGGAACACCGAUGGCGAAGGCAGGUCUCUGGGCCACUACUGACGCUGAGAAGCGAAAGCAUGGGGAGCGA